Molecule: ribosomal RNA, 465 nt
Filed under: Vreelandella stevensii
Lineage: Bacteria; Pseudomonadati; Pseudomonadota; Gammaproteobacteria; Oceanospirillales; Halomonadaceae
Description: partial 16S ribosomal RNA
Rfam family: Bacterial small subunit ribosomal RNA
Source: RNAcentral
CCUACGGGGGGCAGCAGUGGGGAAUAUUGGACAAUGGGGGCAACCCUGAUCCAGCCAUGCCGCGUGUGUGAAGAAGGCCCUCGGGUUGUAAAGCACUUUCAGUGAGGAAGAACGCCUGGUGGUUAAUACCCAUCAGGAAAGACAUCACUCACAGAAGAAGCACCGGCUAACUCCGUGCCAGCAGCCGCGGUAAUACGGAGGGUGCGAGCGUUAAUCGGAAUUACUGGGCGUAAAGCGCGCGUAGGUGGCUUGAUAAGCCGGUUGUGAAAGCCCCGGGCUCAACCUGGGAACGGCAUCCGGAACUGUCAAGCUAGAGUGCAGGAGAGGAAGGUAGAAUUCCCGGUGUAGCGGUGAAUUGCGUAGAGAUCGGGAGGAAUACCAGUGGCGAAGGCGGCCUUCUGGACUGACACUGACACUGAGGUGCGAAAGCGUGGGUAGCAAACAGGAUUAGAUACCCCGGUAGUC